AGACCUGUGGUCCCUAUAGAGUCGUGGUGGUCCAGAGGUGACCUGGCUGCAGUUGAGAGUCUCUGGGCCCUGACUCUGAGCUCUGCUCUUCCCUGUCUGGACGCUCACCCCUGGGACCCAGUCCCUGACCUCCCAACAGCCUCCACACUGGUUCACUCAGAUGGACUGUGACAGCCACCUGGCCAAGUGUCUAUCAGAGAUGACCGUCGACAUGACCUGGUGAUAGUCCACAGAGUCUUCUUCUGACACCAAGGAUGGAUGGAGGUCUGGAAGGACAGCCAGCUGGCCGUUGCACCACAUUUGGGUCGUGUUCACUUGGCACAAAACCGAAGAAAAUGGACCGAAUUGGGGAGGUGCGAUCGGAACUUGUCGAAUUAAAAAUGCUUGUUUUUGCCUUUACCCUUUGUAAGAUUUCCAACCCUUGUUAGGACCUCUUACUGGCCCACCUCCGCCCCUUCCCACCAACCUAUCAUCAUGCACUACAAGGUUGGAAUCAUAGAGAUGGAUCGAGGGCACACCUGCCACUAAGCAUUUGAGGCGUACCACUUCCCAUCGCUAUGGUUGGAAACAAUCUCUGAUGUGUCCCAUAUUGCUUCAUUCAGAUACACAUUUUGUUCUCUCUUCCGCUCCUAACCGCAUAUGCUGCCAUAGAAAUAGAAUGAAUAGAACGAGCGUCCCCAUUCAAGCCAACAAAGGUAUAAUGGGUGGGCUGGUGGCCAAAGCGAGGAGCAAAGCAGGAAGUGUACCCUGUAGUAGUUAGUAGAAGUAGUUGCCAUUGCGCCCUGGUAGCCUAAGCAGAAAGCUCCUGUAAAUACUGCCUUCAGAAAGUCUUCACACCCCUUUACUUUUCCCACAUUGUGUUACAGCCUGAAUUUGAUUAAAAUGGAUUAAAUUGAGAUUUUUUGUCACUGGCCUACACUCAACACCCCAUAAUGUCACAAUACCCGAUAAGUAUAAUUAUGUUUUUAAAAUGUUAUUUGACAAAUUAAUGAAAAGCUGAAAUGUCUUUAGUUAAUAAUUAUUCAACCCCUUUCUUAUGGCAAGCGUAAAUAAGUUCAAGAGUAAAAAUGUGCUUAACAAGUAACUUAAGUUGCAUGGACUCACUUUGUGUUCAAAAAGUGUUUAAUUAGAUUUUUAAAUGACAACCUCAUCUCUGUACCCCACACACACAAAUCAAAUUAAACACUUAUCUGUCAGGUCCCUCAGUCGAACAGUGAAUUUCAAACACAGAUUCAACCACAAGGACCAGGGAGGAUUUCCAAUACUUUGCAAAGAAGGGCACCUAUUGGUGGAUGGGUAAAAGCAGACAUUGAAUAUCCCUUUGAGCAUGGUGAAGUUAUUACACUGAACAAAAAUAUAAAGGCAACAUGCAACAUUUUCAAAUAUUUUACAGUUACAGUUCAUAUAAGGAAGUCAAUCAAUUCAAAUAAAUAAAUUAGGCCCUAAUCUAUGGAAUUCACAUUACUGGGAAUAUAGAUAUGCAUACAGUGCAUAUGGAAAGUAUUCAGACCCCUUGACUUUUUCCACAUUAAGUUAUAGCCUUAUUCUAAAAUGGUUUAAAUGUUGUUUUUUUCCAUCAGUCUUCACACAAUACCCC
RNAcentral lists this long non-coding RNA (1597 nucleotides) under Salmo salar (Atlantic salmon). Its description in RNAcentral is "lncRNA (ENSSSAG00000118240.1)". The record is from RNAcentral. Lineage: Eukaryota; Metazoa; Chordata; Actinopteri; Salmoniformes; Salmonidae.